CGCUGGCGGCGUGCCUAAUACAUGCAAGUCGAACGGCUUUUCUAUGGAAGCUUGCUUCCACUGAGAAGAUAGUGGCGAACGGGUGAGUAACACGUGGGUAACCUGCCCAUAAGAGGGGGGAUAACAUCCGGAAACGGGUGCUAAUACCGCAUAGUUUUCUUGAUCGCAUGAUUGAGAAAGGAAAGACGGCCUUUGUGCUGUCGCUUAUGGAUGGACCCGCGGCGUAUUAGUUAGUUGGUGAGGUAACGGCUCACCAAGACGAUGAUACGUAGCCGACCUGAGAGGGUGAUCGGCCACAUUGGGACUGAGACACGGCCCAAACUCCUACGGGAGGCAGCAGUAGGGAAUCUUCCGCAAUGGACGAAAGUCUGACGGAGCAACGCCGCGUGAGUGAAGAAAGGUUUUCGGAUCGUAAAACUCUGUUGUCAGAGAAGAACAAGUUGGAGAGUAACUGCUCCAGCCUUGACGGUAUCUGACCAGAAAGCCACGGCUAACUACGUGCCAGCAGCGGC
This 512-nucleotide ribosomal RNA is filed under the name uncultured bacterium. Its description in RNAcentral is "bacterial SSU rRNA". It matches the Rfam family "Bacterial small subunit ribosomal RNA", at positions 34 to 518 of the family's 1533-position model. The record is from RNAcentral.